UAGUCCACGCCCUAAACGAUGUUUACUCGAUCUUUGCGAUACACUGUAAGGGUCCAAGCGAAAGCGUUAAGUAAACCACCUGGGGAGUACGUUCGCAAGAAUGAAACUCAAAGGAAUUGACGGGGGUCCGCACAAGCGGUGGAGUAUGUGGUUUAAUUCGAUGAUACGCGAAGAACCUUACCUAGGCUCUAAUGCUAUUUGACAGUUCCAGAAAUGGAAUCUUCCUUCGGGACAGAUAGUAAGGUGCUGCAUGGUUGUCGUCAGCUCGUGCCGUGAGGUGUUGGGUUAAGUCCCGCAACGAGCGCAACCCCUAUCUUUAGUUGCCAGCGAGUAAUGUCGGGGACUCUAAAGACACUGCCUGCGCAAGCAGAGAGGAAGGCGGGGAUGACGUCAAAUCAUCAUGGCCUUUAUGCCUAGGGCUACACACGUACUACAAUGGUAAUGACAAAGGGUUGCUACUUGGUGACAAGAUGCCAAUCCCAAAAACAUUAUCUCAGUUCGGA
RNAcentral lists this ribosomal RNA (503 nucleotides) under uncultured bacterium. Its description in RNAcentral is "bacterial SSU rRNA". It matches the Rfam family "Bacterial small subunit ribosomal RNA", at positions 791 to 1297 of the family's 1533-position model. The record is from RNAcentral.